GUAGCUGGACUGAGAGGUCGAACAGCCACAUUGGGACUGAGACACGGCCCAAACUCCUACGGGAGGCAGCAGUAGGGAAUUUUCGGCAAUGGAGGAAACUCUGACCGAGCAACGCCGCGUGAACGAUGAAGUAUUUCGGUAUGUAAAGUUCUUUUAUUGAAGAAGAAAAAAUAGUGGAAAAACUAUCUUGACGUUAUUCAAUGAAUAAGCCCCGGCUAACUAUGUGCCAGCAGCCGCGGUAAGACAUAGGGGGCGAGCGUUAUCCGGAAUUAUUGGGCGUAAAGGGUGCGUAGGCGGUUAGGAAAGUCUAUAAUUUAAUUUCAGUGCUUAACGCUGUCUUGUUAUAGAAACUACCUUGACUAGAGUUAGAUAGAGGCAAGCGGAAUUCCAUGUGUAGCGGUAAAAUGUGUAAAUAUAUGGAGGAACACCAGAAGCGUAGGCGGCUUGCUGGGUCUUGACUGACGCUGAGGCACGAAAGCGUGGGUAGCAAACAGGAUUAGAUACCCUGGUAGUCCACGCCGUAAACGAUGAGUACUAAGUGUCGGGAUAAAACUCGGUACUGAAGUUAACACAUUAAGUACUCCGCCUGAGUAGUACGUACGCAAGUAUGAAACUUAAAGGAAUUGACGGGACUCCGCACAAGCGGUGGAUCAUGUUGUUUAAUUCGAAGAUACACGAAAAAUCUUACCAGGUCUUGACAUGCUCUGCAAAGCUAUAGAAAUAUAGUGGAGGUUAUCAGGGACACAGGUGGUGCAUGGUUGUCGUCAGUUCGUGUCGUGAGAUGUUAGGUUAAGUCCUAAAACGAGCGCAACCCUUGUCGUUAGUUACCAGCACGUAAUGGUGGGCACUUUAACGAGACUGCCAAUUAAACAUUGGAGGAAGGUGAGGAUUACGUCAAAUCAUCAUGCCCCUUAUGAUCUGGGCUACAAACGUG
This 934-nucleotide ribosomal RNA is filed under the name Candidatus Phytoplasma fraxini. RNAcentral's name for it is "bacterial SSU rRNA". It matches the Rfam family "Bacterial small subunit ribosomal RNA", at positions 283 to 1224 of the family's 1533-position model. Lineage: Bacteria; Bacillati; Mycoplasmatota; Mollicutes; Acholeplasmatales; Acholeplasmataceae. The record is from RNAcentral.